RNAcentral lists this ribosomal RNA (324 nucleotides) under uncultured Chloroflexota bacterium. RNAcentral's name for it is "bacterial SSU rRNA". It matches the Rfam family "Bacterial small subunit ribosomal RNA", at positions 29 to 351 of the family's 1533-position model. Lineage: Bacteria; Bacillati; Chloroflexota. The record is from RNAcentral.
AAUAAACGUUGGCGGUGCGCCUUAUGCAUGCAAGUCGAACGGGGUUACAGUUUUCGGAUUGUAACCUAGUGGCGGACGGCUGAGUAACGCGUAAGUAACCUGCCUUAGAGUGGGAAAUAACCUGCCGAAAGGCAAGCUAAUGUCCCAUGUGGUAACGAAGCAAAUGCUUUGUUAUUAAAGCCUUAGGGUGCUCGAAGAGGGACUUGCGUCUGAUUAGCUAGUUGGUAGGGUAAUGGCCUACCAAGGCGAUGAUCGGUAGCUGGUCUGAGAGGAUGGUCAGCCAGAUGGGGACUGAGACACGGCCCCAACACCUACGGGUGGCAG